Harpegnathos saltator (Jerdon's jumping ant) is the source of this 402-nucleotide long non-coding RNA. RefSeq lists it as uncharacterized. The record is from RefSeq and is a predicted model, not a curated record. The transcript has 3 exons. Lineage: Eukaryota; Metazoa; Arthropoda; Insecta; Hymenoptera; Formicidae.
GUCGCGAGGAAGGACGACGACCGUUGUCUCGAAUACUCGACUGGUCCAAGCGAUUUAUGAUGCCUUGUGCAAGAACCGGCACUUUGACAGACCACUUAAAUCAGAAUUCCAGAUGCAGAUGCGGGAAUCUCUGCGUGUAGCAAAGGAGAGACAUCGGAGCAGGAUGCGUGGUCCACGCAGACGAAACACCUGCGCAGAAGCGAACCAAAUUUAUGGAAUGACAAGGCAGACGAGGGCGACGUUGAAGCAAGCGACGACGAGUAACAACAUUAUUUAAAUGAUCUAGGUCUGAUACAAGUCCAAUGGAACAACGCAGAGACAACGCGAUGAAGCAACGCAGGGAGGACGUCCAGGAAGGUGCAGUGGAGGAACGCAGGGACAGAAUGAGAAGAGGAAGAAGAA